Molecule: ribosomal RNA, 497 nt
Filed under: uncultured bacterium
Lineage: Bacteria
Description: partial 16S ribosomal RNA
Rfam family: Bacterial small subunit ribosomal RNA
Source: RNAcentral
GAUGAACGCUGGCGGCGUGCCUAAUACAUGCAAGUCGAGCGAACAGACGAGGAGCUUGCUCCUCUGACGUUAGCGGCGGACGGGUGAGUAACACGUGGAUAACCUACCUAUAAGACUGGGAUAACUUCGGGAAACCGGAGCUACUACCGGAUAAUAUAUUGAACCGCAUGGUUCAAUAGUGAAAGACGGUUUUGCUGUCACUUAUAGAUGGAUCCGCGCCGCAUUAGCUAGUUGGUAAGGUAACGGCUUACCAAGGCGACGAUGCGUAGCCGACCUGAGAGGGUGAUCGGCCACACUGGAACUGAGACACGGUCCAGACUCCUACGGGAGGCAGCAGUAGGGAAUCUUCCGUAAUGGGCGAAAGCCUGACGGAGCAACGCCGCGUGAGUGAUGAAGGUCUUCGGAUCGUAAAACUCUGUUAUUAGGGAAGAACAAAUGUGUAAGUAACUAUGCACGUCUUGACGGUACCUAAUCAGAAAGCCACGGCUAACUACGUG